This 458-nucleotide ribosomal RNA is filed under the name uncultured bacterium. RNAcentral describes it as "partial 16S ribosomal RNA". It matches the Rfam family "Bacterial small subunit ribosomal RNA", at positions 339 to 795 of the family's 1533-position model. The record is from RNAcentral.
CCACGGGGGGUCGAAGUGAGGAAGAGUGGUCAAGGGGAGAGAGCCGGAACCAGACAAGGCGCGUGAGGGAAGACGGCCCUAUGGGUUGUAAACCUCUUUUGUCGGAGAACAAAACCCGGGACGUGUCCCGGACUGCGUGUAUCCGAAGAAAAAGCAUCGGCUAACUCCGUGCCAGCAGCCGCGGUAAUACGGAGGAUGCGAGCGUUAUCCGGAUUUAUUGGGUUUAAAGGGUGCGUAGGCGGUCCGUUAAGUCAGCGGUAAAAUUGCGGGGCUCAACCCCGUCGAGCCGUUGAAACUGGCAGACUUGAGUUGGCGAGAAGUACGCGGAAUGCGCGGUGUAGCGGUGAAAUGCAUAGAUAUCAUACAGAACACCGAUUGCGAAGGCAGCUUACCAAGCUACUUCUGACGUUGAGGCACGAAAGCGUGGGGAGCAAACAGGAUUAGAUACCCGUGUAGUC